AAUGUUCUAGAAAUAUAAAUAACGGAAGGAUGCCUUAGCUACCCAAUGGAAAUGAACUGGUUGGUGGAAACCUUUAUGUCUAUACAUGUAUACAUGAUAUAUAAAUAAUAUUUAAACGAACUUCGAACGGAUAACUGAUACCCACCAGACCACAUCCCAACGAGGAAAAGGAAAUAAGGCGAGCUAGCCGUUCUAAGUCCUUUAAACAUUAUUUAUAUAACUAUACAAAUAUAGACAUGCAUUUAACGAUAUAACAACAUAGCAGAAAACUCUGGUAAAACUUUUGUGAAAUCUUUGUUGAAUUAGGUGUUUAAGCCCAUAACUAUAAUUGGUAUGUACUUGAAUUGAUAGCAGCACAGUCCUUUUGGGUUGCCCUCAAACCUAGCAACCGGACAAGGAAAUUAUGAAAGGAGAGAUAUUAAUUUAUUAUAAGAUUAAUAAAUUAAUAUAAAUGAAUUUAUUAAUAUGUUAAAAGAUUAAUAUAUUAAUAAGAAAUCAUUUUGUUUAAUUAAUUGUUAGCCAGAAAUUAAUUAGAAUUAAUUUUGGGGUUAAAAGAAUUAAUUAUAAGGUGCAGGGACUAGUUUGCAAUUAUCUAAUAGUUGAGUGGAAGGCUCUAGAACCCCCUUGGAUAAGGGUGGACGAAAUCUUUAGGGGAAACCCUAAUAAUUUCGUCCAUAGGGGCUUGGAUAAGGCCCUUGGGUUUGCUUAGGCCCUAAGCAAAGGAUAACUAGGGUUUCCCCUAAACCCUAGAUCCCUCAGCUAUAUAAGGAGCCUCCUGGUUCAUGUUUUGGUCACUCUUUUCUUUUGAAGAAACCCUAAGGGCCGAAAUUUUGCAUACUCCCUCUCCCCUCUCUCCUCUACUUUCCUUCUUGCUAGUUUGGGUGUGAUUCCAUUAGAGGCAUUACACUUGUGGUGCUAAGCUUCCAAGAAGAUCAAGAUCAAGAUCAAGGGAAUUAUCAAUUGUUUACUAUAACAAUUGAAAGGUAUGUAAUUACUAAACCCUAGGUUGUAAAUUUCGAUUAUAGCCUCUCUCCUCUAGGGUUCUUGUUUUGCAAUUCAAAGUUGUAUGUUCAAUAGAUAAAACAUAGAUCCAAAGUAGGUUGCAUGUGAACUUAGGAAUUGUUUUCUAGUUUAUUUGUUUUACCUAAAACCCAUCAGUGGUAUCAGAGCCAUUGUUUGUUUUAAAUUGAAUUGUUAUAAUUGUUGAAUUGCAAAUUAGGGUUUAUAGCUAUUAAACCCUAAAGGCCAUUUUUUUCGAUUUUUAGGGUUGUGGAUCAAAGGGUUUUUGAAAACCCUAGCCUCCAAAGAACCCUAAUCGAAAUUAGGGUUAGGGUUUUGAAAACCCUAGCCUCCUCCCUUGAAAAUUUCGAAAUAUGCUAUAAAGAUUAGGGUUUCUUUGUUUUGGAUAAUAGUUGCCUUAUUGGAUAAUUGAGAAAAAUAAGGAAAUUAUCCUAUCCCCAUAUUUUUGAAAUCUAGAAGGGAUAUGGAUUAGGAUUAAGUUAAUUGUUUAAUUUAAUUAGAUAAUCCUUAAAAGAUUUAAUAAAUUAAUUAAAAGUUAAUUAAUAGAUAAAUAUUAAAUCUAAUUAAUUGGUUUACUUAAAUUUAAAAUUUAAUAGUUUAAAUUUCGAAAAAUUUAUAUAAACCCUUGGAGUUUUAAAAUGUUUUAAAACACACCUUAUAUAUAUAUUAUAAUUAAAAGUUAAAUAUUAUAUAUGUAUAAGAAUAUGGUCAGUCAAAUCGCUAGUAUGCCUCAUUCACGAAGCUAAUCUAUAAGGGGGGUAUAAGGAAACUGCCUAUAAAAUGGUAGUUGAAUGGGUGUCCACUCUCACCCACUGCUUCCUUGAUUAGUGGAGGGUCGUUAGCAGAACGGAUUUGAUAGGACAACUACUUCUCAUUAAAAGUAUAAUGUUAUUAAAGAAAGUACUAGAACAUUAUUUUUAAAAUCCCAACUCUAGCUACUUUAGGAAAAAUGUGAAAAGUAUGCUAAUCCAUGAAAUUGCACAUUAUGCUUUAUUGGUCGUUAGUGGAGGAUGUGUGGUUAACCGGCACACUAAAUGGCACUAAUAAAGAGUAGUAAUGGGUAUCUUAUAAUUAUCAUUUUGAUGGAGCGUGUGUGGUUUACCGACACAUCUAUAGUUAAUGAUAAAGACAAUAAGGUUACAAAGAACAUUUGCAUGGUUAUUCACAUCUAGUUUGUGAUCCUCGGUAUCCCAGUCACAAAUUAUAGAGCAUAAUCUGAGAUUAAAACAUGCCAUUAAAUAGUUUUAAUGUAUCUCAAAAGAAUUAGGAAUUUCAUUUCGUCUAAUGGUGGAAUUGGUGAAUCGUCAUUCACAAACCUUUAUGAGAUUUGAGCUUGGAUCUCGGCAUCCCAUUUUUAAGUUGUAAAUCGUCAUAGUUGGGUCCUAACCUUAAUGUGAUAUAUUUGGGUUAUUAUAUUGAGGUGUCUUGAAAUCUAACUAAAACUACCUUUCUUUUCAGAUGUCUACUCCUGGAAACACUUCUGCUUCUUCAUCCUCCAGCCACAACUUCUCUUUGCUCAACAUUUGCGCUAAAGUCGUUAUGGAUGCCUCGAACUAUAACGAUUGGAUGCGUAACAUCAAGAUGGCGUUCAGAUUCGAGGACAAAGAGUAUGUCCUUGAAAAGGAGCUCAAAGAACUUGAUGAGUCCAAAGCCACUCCCGAAGAGUAUGUUGCAUACAAGAAGCACUAUGAUGAUGCUACCAAAGUGGCAUGCAUCAUGGUCGCAACCAUGUCCCCAGAACUGCAAAGGUACUAUGAGGACUACUGGCCUUUUGAGAUGAACAAGGACCUUAUGGAAAAGUACCAUAAGCGAGCUCGUCAAGAAAAGUUUGAAGUAGUCAAGUCACUCAUGGCUUGCAAGAUGAAAGAGGGGGAAUCGGUUGUAUCUCAUGUGCAAAGAAUGCAACGCUACAUAGAGCGUUUGGUCAAGCUCAACAUUCAUUUUGAUGAGGAAUUGGCCAUUGACAUGGUCUUGAACUCGUUGCCUGAUUCUUAUGGUCAGUUUAUCUUAAAUUACCAUUUGAACAACACUAAGCAGACAUAGGCCCAAUUGCACAACUUGUUGCAGACUGCUGAAGCAGGGAUGAAGGGUAAAAGUAUAGCCCCCACCCCUGCAAGUGCUUCUGUUCUAGCUAUUGGACAGGGAAAGGGGAAAAAGAGGAAAGGUCCUCCCAAUAAAAACUGGAAGGAAAAGGUCCAAGUAGGGUCAUCUAGCAAUGGCCCGAAAGCCAAGCCCAAUGCUUCCAUUCCCCAUGUCUCUGAUCCAAAGGAAGCUGUUUGCUUUUAUUGCAAUCAAAAAGGGCAUUGGAAGAGAACCUGCCCACAAUAUCUGCAGGACAUCAAAGAUGGCAAAGUGAAGCCAUCUUCGGCAGGUAUUUACAUUAUUUCUUCUGAUAACUCAUUAUCUCCUCGUUCAUGGGUCCUUGAUACAGGAUAUGGUUUUCACAUCUGUUCUGAUUCUCAGGAGCUAAGGGAAAGUGUGGAGAUAGAGUGAGGUAGGAUAAACUUGAUCAUGGGAAAUAAGAAGUCUUCACCAGUAACCAAGAUCAGAGUUUAUCAACUUUUGCUUAAUAAUGAUGUUAGAUUAGAUUUGUUGAAUUGUUGCUAUUCGUCUUAGAUGACGAGAAACAUUAUUUCAUUUCAUGCAUUGUUCAGACAAGGUUUUAAAUAUUCUUUUAAUGAUUUGAAUGGUUCAAUUUCUGUUUAUAAGAAUGGUGUUUUCGUGUUUGAAGCUUUACCUUGUGAUGGUGUGUAUGAAACAGUGACUUGUGUUGAUAGCUUAGGAAAUAGUGUGUUUAAUAUUGACUUGUCUAAUAGUGUAGACAAGGCAUGCUUGUGGCAUUGUCGUCUUGGACACAUUAACAAGAAACGCAUAGUCCAACUCCAAAAGGAUGGAGUCUUGGAAUCAUUUGACCUAAAAUCAGAUGAUCUGUGUGAAUCUUGUCUUUUGGGAAAGAUGACAAAAUCACCAUUCACAGGGUCUUGUGAAAGAGGUGAAGGUCUGUUGGAUCUCAUACACACAGAUAUGUGUGGGCCCUUCAGAUCAACCACAAGAGAUGAUAAUCGAUUUUAUGUGACUUUCACUGAUGAUUAUAGUAGAUAUUGUUAUGUAUACUUAAUCAAACAUAAGUCAGAAACCUUUGAAAAGUUCAAAGAGUUUAAACAUGAGGUCGAAAAUCAAUUAGGCAGGAAAAUAAAGGUCCUUAUAUCCGAUAGAGGCAGAGAGUAUCUUAGUAUUGAGUUCAACGACUAUCUAAAGGAAUGUAGGAUAGUCUCACAAUUGACUCCUCCUAGGACACCACAGUUAAAUGGUGUAGCCGAGAGGCGUAAUCGAACCUUGUUAGACAUGGUUCGUUCUAUGAUGAGUCGUGCUCCACUUCCAAUUCAUUUCUGGGGCUAUGCCUUAGAAACAGCCGCCCACAUCCUAAAUCUUGUCCCAACAAAGAAGGUUGCCAAAACACCUCACGAAAUGUGGACAGGGAAAGUUCCCUCGUUAGCACAUAUUAAAGUUUGGGGUUGUGAAGCUUUCGUAAGAUGAGAGACUCACGACAAGCUAGCAGCAAGAAGUGAGAAAUGUGUUUUCAUUGGUUACCCAAAACAGUCUUUUGGAUAUUUGUUCUACAGACCUAGUGAGAACAUGGUGUUUGUAGCUCGAAGAGGAGUCUUUCUAGAAAAAGAGCUCAUAUCUAAAGAGGACAGUGGGAGUACCAUUGACCUUGAAGAGAUUCAAGAGUCAACCAAUGAAGGAACCUUAGAUGACACUAGCACUCAACCAGAGGAAACAGUUCCUGUUGAACCAGUUGAUAAAUCAUUACCUCUUCGUAAAUCCACUAGGGUGAGUGUGCCAUCAGAGUUGUCUGGUUUUCAUAUCACUUCAGACGGUGACACAUUCAUCAGUGAUAAGACAUUGGUGAAUUUAGAUGAACCAGUAUCUUACAAGGAAGCAGUGGCAGACCCAGAGGCUUCCAAGUGGAAAGAGGCAACGGAAAGCGAGAUAAAAUCCAUGUAUGACAACCAAGUUUGAAAUUUGGUUAAUAAUGCACCAGGUCGUAAGACAGUUGGUUGCAAAUGGAUCUUCAAGAAGAAGACAGACAUGGAUGGGAAUGUACACACAUUCAAGGCUAGACUGGUUGCGAAAGGUUUCACACAAACCCCAGGGGUUGACUAUGAUGAAACUUUCUCGCCAGUAGCCAAGAUUAAAUCUAUCAGGAUAUUGCUCGCCAUAGCUGCCUUUCAUGACUAUGAAAUCUGGCAGAUGGAUGUCAAGACUGCCUUCCUUAACGGGAAGUUGGCUGAGGAUGUUUACAUGAGUCAGCCAGAGGGUUUUGUCGAUGCAAAGUUUCCCAAUAGAGUGUGCAAGCUUGAGAAAUCCAUUUAUGGAUUGAAACAAGCAUCUCACAGCUGGAAUCUUUGCUUCCAUGAGAAAGUCAAAGAGUUUGGUUUCUCUAGAAGUGAAGAUGAGUUUUGUGUGUAUAUCAAGGCUAGUGGGAGUAUAGUAACUUUUCUGGUGUUAUAUGUCGAUGACAUAUUACUCAUUGGUAACGAUAUUCCAACCUUGAAUGAAGUUAAGUCUUGGCUUGGAAAGUGUUUUGCCAUGAAAGACCUUGGAGAAGCUGUCUAUAUUCUUGGGAUUAGGAUAUUGAGAGAUAGAAAGAACAGACUAAUUGGACUUAGUCGGAGCACAUACUUGGAUAAGGUACUAAAGAGGUUUAGUAUGGAAAAUUCCAAGAUGGGAGAGCUAGCUAUCCAGAGCAACACAAAAUUGAGUAAGACUCAAUGCCCUAGUACAGACGAGGAAAUAGCAGAUAUGAGUCGAGUACCUUAUGCUUCCGCUGUCGGAUCGAUCAUGUACGCUAUGACAUGUAAUCGCCCUGAUGUGGCCUUUGCUUUGAGCAUGGUCAGUCGCUAUCAGGGAAACCCGGGUAGAGCUCAUUAGACAGCAGUAAAGAAUAUACUCAAGUAUUUGCGAAGAACAAAGGACUGGGUCCUUGUACUUGGUGGCAAUGAUACUAUGAGAGUAGAUGGUUACAGUGAUGCCAGGUUUCAGACGGAUAGAGAUAACUUCCAUUCUCAGUCAGGAUGGGUAUUUUUACUGAAUGGAGGAGCAGUUACUUGGAAGAGUUCCAAGCAAGAUACAGUGGCUGAUUCUACUUGUGAAUCAGAGUACAUAGAAGCAAGUGAAGCGUCGAAAUAAGCAACCUGGUUAAGGAACUUCAUCGGGGAUCUCGGAGUUGUUCCACCCAUCCAGGACCCUAUGGAACUGUUCUGCGAUAAUGAGGGAGCGGUUGCCUUAACUAAGGAACCCAGAGACCAUGGUAAAACCAUACAUAUCGAUAGAAAGUACCAUUUCAUCAGGCAUAGAGUUGAAGAAGGUCAUCUUGUUGUAAAGAGGGUAUCAUCUGAAGAUAACCCAGCAGACCCCCUUACAAAGGGUCUGAGUAGGGUUAAGCAUAUUCAUCAUGCUCGGUGCAUAGGUCUGAAAGAUGAUAUUAGUUUUCGUAGUUAGAUUAGUUUUGUCUUGAAACUUGUAACAGAGUAAAUGUAAUUGACUUUUGGUGAUUGAAUAAUAAAGUAUUAUUUAUGGGUUUACUACCUUUUGUUAAUUGUUUAUUGUUCUGUUUCAUAUUUUGCAUGUUUUACUUCCCGGAUAAUAUGAUUGUUCAGACUCCACAGUCGCUCAUACUUUUGGAAGUAAGUAGUGAAUUAAGACUGUCAUGAAUUAGAUUGCAGAUUCUCUAAGGAUAGACAUGGCAAUACAAUAGCUACAAUGUUCAUGAGUACUCAGAGAGUGAGAUUUGAGUAUUGGAUAAACCCACGCUUAGAGUAUUACUUCAUGGAAUUCAUCACGAGUAAUACUGAGACAAUAAUCUAUAAUCUUGGAUCAUAGAUAUAUGAGUUGUAAUUUGCAAGAUGGCUAUACAUUGGUAAUACGAAAACGCAUCAGUAACUUGCUGUUAUAAAACGCAUUGUCAUGUGUGGUUUGAUGAGUAAAAGAUACAAGCAUAUCAGUCAAUGUUUAUUCGUUCCUUUUUCCCUAAUGGGAAAAUCGAUAUCUGUGGGCCCCUCGAUGAUUUGGUGUUGACUUUUGUGCUGGGCCCAACUAGGACUGAAUUGAUGUGUUCAUUUAGAAGUCCUAUAUCAUCACAAAUCAAGAAUUGGGAAACAUAGAUUCUGGACAAAAGAGAUUGAUUACAUUCCAUGUCUUCUGUCUGGGGAUAUCUAGCAGAACGAAGGAUUAUAUGAUCACUUAUCUUAGGACACGUAACUGACUGGGUCAGAGUUCGGCAGCAGCUUUUUGGAAGCUACAAUUUGCUGGUUAAAUUUAGAAGGCAUACUAACAAUUAUAGUUACAAACUUAUCCAAGUGGGAGACUGUUGGAUUAGGUGUCUAAGCCCAUAACUAUAAUUGGUAUGUACUUGAAUUGAUAGCAGCACAGUCCUUUUGGGUUGCCCUCAAACCUAGCAACCGGACAAGGAAAUUAUGAAAGGAGAGAUAUUAAUUU
This 7521-nucleotide long non-coding RNA is filed under the name Lactuca sativa (garden lettuce). RNAcentral's name for it is "long non-coding RNA (LSAT_LNC009462)". The record is from RNAcentral. Lineage: Eukaryota; Viridiplantae; Streptophyta; Magnoliopsida; Asterales; Asteraceae.